GUCAGCAUAAUGGGAACUUCUGGAGUGCUUUAUUUUAGCUCUCUAAGACAAAUAUGAAUGUAAUUUCUCACUGGGUAUCUUCUGCAUGAUCCAUGCUAUGUGAAUUCUGUUAUUUGCUCUGGGAUGACAGUACCACUGUCAGUGUCUCCUGAGUGUAUUUAAAAUUUAGUUCGUCCUGGAAUCUCAAAGGUGAAAUGAAACAUUGGAGCCAUAUGGAUUUUAAAGCACUGUUUCUUCUCCAGACCAACUGCAAUGGAAGAGAUGGAAAAAAGAAUCCAUUAGCAGCUGAAUUUGUGUCUGUCACUGCAGAAGGAGCUGCCGUUGGAGCUUUGCUGGACUCCUGCUGCUCUUUUUCUUGGGAUUGAGAGGCAUGGCCUGUGGACAGAUGGAGUCCAUGAGUCAAUGAAAGCCUUAACACUUUCCAGCCACAGAACUGCAGUGUUCUGAUUGCCAGCUGCCUGGCGGUGCAAUGGAACUGCCUGCACCCAGGUGAGGUAUCAGUGCUUCUUAAUUCCUCCUUGAGCCCAUUUCUUUCCUCUGUGCACUACGUAAUGCAGUGUGCACAUGGCCACGUUUUGGUGAAAAUUUGAUUUAUCACUUAAUUAUGUACCAUAUCUGUACUAAGAAAUUAUUUACCAUUAACUGCAAAGAAAUUUUAUUUAGUUCUGAAACUGGUGGCUCUUUUUCCCUCCUUGGCCAGGUUCUCUGCACAAAGAUGUCACCAAGAUUUACUCCAUGCUCCAAAUAGCAUCCUACCAACCCUAGCUGUAAAUCCAGCGUUGGGAUCACAUUCCACCCUGGGGACUAAAUCUGACCAUUCAUACAAUAAUUGCAGGCCUGGGGGUUUCUGUUCAAGUUCUCAACUAUUAAUGUGUGAAAUGUUAAAAAAAAAUGUCCCUCAUACCAACACUAUUGCUUUCUUUUGACUACAGGCAGUAAAGGGUGGAAGUAUAAAUUUCCUCACAUAUGGAAAAGCUGGAGGGUGUAAAAGUUAAGUCCUUCUAAAAGGCUUAUUAGGAUAAAAGAAUUUAAAGUAUCCCCUGGGCCAUAGGAAGACUAACUUAAAAUCUAUAGGCCAGAUUCUCAGCAGCAAGGAUCAAUAUAGAUCCAUUGAAGCAUAGGAAAUGUACUUAUUUAUAUAUAUCAAGUAAACAUCUGCUCCUGUAUUCAUUUAAAAUACUUAAGCUAGAAGGAUACUUGGUAAGAUUAAAAGUAUCUUAUUUUCAACGACAUUCUGAGGGGAAGAAAAAGAACAUAAAAUAAAACACUUUCCCAUUCAUAAGUUUAUGGCA
This 1292-nucleotide long non-coding RNA is filed under the name Coturnix japonica (Japanese quail). RNAcentral describes it as "lncRNA (ENSCJPG00005020538.1)". The record is from RNAcentral. Lineage: Eukaryota; Metazoa; Chordata; Aves; Galliformes; Phasianidae.